Non-coding RNA from Cajanus cajan (pigeon pea), 350 nucleotides. The record is from RefSeq and is a predicted model, not a curated record. NCBI's taxonomy places the organism in Eukaryota, Viridiplantae, Streptophyta, Magnoliopsida, Fabales, Fabaceae.
GCAAAUAGUUUAACCUUUUUAGAGGUGGAAAGCAUCUUGGAAGACUCGGGAAAUUCAACUUUUGCUGUGGGUAACUCUGCAUUGGCCUGUAACAGAGGUUGAUAUUGUUGAACUUGCAACUACUAUUGAAAAGAUUGAAGGCCUUAUUGUACUUGUUGAAAGUUUUUCCUUUACAGAUUUAAAAUAUUAAGAUCAAGAAAAAAUGGAUCGAAAAUGGAUGUCUGCUAGUCGAUUGUCAAAAGAAUAUGAAGAUGGGGUGAAAGAGUUUCGUAGAUUUGCAGUUGAGCAUGCAAAAGAUCCUAGUAGAAUUAUUUGCCCUUGCUUGAAGUGCUGUCAUUCAAAGGUAGUUA